AUACUGCUGGAGAGUCCCAAACUAGGACGAAACAGCUGUCCAGUAC
Molecule: non-coding RNA, 46 nt
Filed under: Trichobilharzia regenti
Lineage: Eukaryota; Metazoa; Platyhelminthes; Trematoda; Strigeidida; Schistosomatidae
Source: RNAcentral